UCCGUUGAUUUAUUGGUUUCU
RNAcentral lists this non-coding RNA (21 nucleotides) under Arabidopsis thaliana (thale cress). Lineage: Eukaryota; Viridiplantae; Streptophyta; Magnoliopsida; Brassicales; Brassicaceae. The record is from RNAcentral.